RNAcentral lists this ribosomal RNA (274 nucleotides) under uncultured bacterium. Its description in RNAcentral is "partial 16S ribosomal RNA". It matches the Rfam family "Bacterial small subunit ribosomal RNA", at positions 523 to 796 of the family's 1533-position model. The record is from RNAcentral.
AUACGGAGGGUGCGAGCGUUAAUCGGAAUUACUGGGCGUAAAGCGUACGUAGGCGGUUGGUUAAGUUAGAUGUGAAAGCCCCGGGCUUAACCUGGGAACUGCAUUUAAAACUGGCGAACUAGAGUUGAGUAGAGGGGAGUGGAAUUUCAGGUGUAGCGGUGAAAUGCGUAGAGAUCUGAAGGAACACCAGUGGCGAAGGCGACUCCCUGGACUCGAACUGACGCUGAGGUACGAAAGAGUGGGUAGCAAACAGGAUUAGAAACCCUAGUAGUCC